This 249-nucleotide ribosomal RNA is filed under the name uncultured bacterium. RNAcentral's name for it is "partial 16S ribosomal RNA". It matches the Rfam family "Bacterial small subunit ribosomal RNA", at positions 524 to 772 of the family's 1533-position model. The record is from RNAcentral.
UACGGGGGGGGGCAAGCGUUGUUCGGAAUUACUGGGCGUAAAGGCGCGUAGGCGGCCUGUUAAGUCGAACGUGAAAUCCCCGGGCUCAACCCGGGAACUGCGUCCGAUACUGGCAGGCUUGAAUCCGGGAGAGGGAUGCGGAAUUCCAGGUGUAGCGGUGAAAUGCGUAGAUAUCUGGAGGAACACCGGUGGCGAAGGCGGCAUCCUGGACCGGCAUUGACGCUGAGGCGCGAAAGCCAGGGGAGCAAG